AACGUAGGAGGCGAGCGUUAUCCGGAGUUACUGGGCGUAAAGAGCGUGUAGGCGGAUAGGCAAGUUUGGCGUGAAAGCUCCCGGCUAAACUGGGAGAGUGCGCUGAAGACUGCAUAUCUAGAGGCGAGUAGAGGGACGUGGAAUUCCGGGUGUAGUGGUGAAAUGCGUAGAGAUCCGGAGGAACACCAGUGGCGAAGGCGACGUCCUGGGCUUGACCUGACGCUGAGACGCGACAGCACGGGGAGCGAACGGGAUUAGAAACCCCUGUAGUCC
This 273-nucleotide ribosomal RNA is filed under the name uncultured bacterium. RNAcentral describes it as "partial 16S ribosomal RNA". It matches the Rfam family "Bacterial small subunit ribosomal RNA", at positions 524 to 796 of the family's 1533-position model. The record is from RNAcentral.